GUGUUUAUAGUUUAUGCAUUUAAAGCCGGACCAAUCACACCGCUGGCCUGUUAACCUCAGCGCUCCUCCUUUCACUCGAACUGGACACAGGCUGACCGCCAUGCAUAUUUACAUCAACCCCCUGUGAGGAAUUAUGAUUAGUUAUGAGGAGUUAUUGAUUAAGGUAAGAGUUUAAAACCCGCCGCGUUAGCUCUGGUUGCGCAGCUCUACGUGAACCGCAGGAAUAACUUGAAGUCGCGCUUUCAGAGGAGCUUUGAGGAGCGGUGAGAAUGAUGUAUAUUUGUGAACAAAACAUUAUGCGGUGUUUACAUCUCAACACGCUGCCCAGCGUUUGGCCCUGCCUUCCCUGUAAAGUUUAGGUCUGUGUUCCCGGUUGGCCGGUAGUUAGCGGUUAACGACCCAGCGCUAAUCACUCAUCGUGCAGGUUUAACCCGGUGAGGAGCUUCGCGCUGUCCUCGCAGUCACGCAUCACGCUGAUUUGAUAUUAUUUUAUUAUUAUUACUAGUUUAUUAUUUUCCGGUUACACUAAGCACCAAACCGUAUCAAAUGUUUUGCCCACUUAGUCAGACAGAGUUAAUGCGCGCAGCUCAUCCAGAAACUCGACCAACCAAAAUAGUUUCUGUGACUCUUAUUAAAACUCAACAGACACGAAAUGAAAGAGUCACUAAAGCCACAUUAGCAGCAUUGAAUUAAAUCUCCCGUUUGUUGCUCAUUUCUGCGCAGUGCAGCGGGUUUAACUUAUCAUGCAGGGUCGGUCCAAGGGUGUAUGAGGCCUGGAGCAGAAUAUGACUUGGGGGGCCCCUUUUGUUGCUAAAAACAUCAGCACCUCUAACAGCUUCUGUAUUAGAUUUAGUGAAAUCUAGGACAGGGGGAGUAGUUUAACUGGCAAACCUAAAAAGCAAUAAAUUA
Poecilia latipinna (sailfin molly) is the source of this 909-nucleotide long non-coding RNA. RefSeq lists it as uncharacterized. The transcript is spliced from 2 exons. Lineage: Eukaryota; Metazoa; Chordata; Actinopteri; Cyprinodontiformes; Poeciliidae. The record is from RefSeq and is a predicted model, not a curated record.